GAUCAUGGCUCAGGACGAACGCUGGCGGCGUGCUUAACGCAUGCAAGUCGAACGAGAAUCUACUGAAGGAGGAUUCGUCCAACGGAUGUAGAGGAAAGUGGCGGACGGGUGAGUAACGCGUGAGGAACCUGCCUUGAAGAGGGGGACAACAGUUGGAAACGACUGCUAAUACCGCAUGACGCAUAGGGGUCGCAUGAUCUUUAUGCCAAAGAUUUAUCGCUUCAAGAUGG
Molecule: ribosomal RNA, 230 nt
Filed under: uncultured bacterium
Lineage: Bacteria
Description: partial 16S ribosomal RNA
Rfam family: Bacterial small subunit ribosomal RNA
Source: RNAcentral